UACGAAGGGGGCUAGCGUUGCUCGGAAUCACUGGGCGUAAAGGGUGCGUAGGCGGGUCUUUUAAGUCAGGGGUGAAAUCCUGGAGCUCAACUCCAGAACUGCCUUUGAUACUGAGGAGCUUGAGUCCGGGAGAGGUGAGUGGAACUGCGAGUGUAGAGGUGAAAUUCGUAGAUAUUCGCAAGAACACCAGUGGCGAAGGCGGCUCACUGGCCCGGUACUGACGCUGAGGUGCGAAAGCGUGGGGAGCAAACAGG
This 254-nucleotide ribosomal RNA is filed under the name uncultured bacterium. RNAcentral describes it as "partial 16S ribosomal RNA". It matches the Rfam family "Bacterial small subunit ribosomal RNA", at positions 524 to 776 of the family's 1533-position model. The record is from RNAcentral.